CUACGGGAGGCAGCAGUGGGGAAUAUUGGACAAUGGGGGGAACCCUGAUCCAGCAAUGCCGCGUGUGUGAAGAAGGUCUUCGGAUUGUAAAGCACUUUCACUAGGGAAGAUGAUGACGGUACCUAGAGAAGAAGCCCCGGCUAACUUCGUGCCAGCAGCCGCGGUAAUACGAAGGGGGCUAGCGUUGCUCGGAAUGACUGGGCGUAAAGGGCGCGUAGGCUGUUUGUACAGUCAGAUGUGAAAUCCCCGGGCUUAACCUGGGAACUGCAUUUGAUACGUGCAGACUAGAGUCCGAGAGAGGGUUGUGGAAUUCCCAGUGUAGAGGUGAAAUUCGUAGAUAUUGGGAAGAACACCGGUUGCGAAGGCGGCAACCUGGCUCGGAACUGACGCUGAGGCGCGAAAGCGUGGGGAGCGAACAGGAUUAGAUACCCUGGUAGUCCACGCUGUAAACGAUGUGUGCUGGAUGUUGGGUGAUUUUAUCAUUCAGUGUCGGAGCUAACGCGUUAAGCACACCGCCUGGGGAGUACGGCCGCAAGGUUGAAACUCAAAGGAAUUGACGGGGGCCCGCACAANCGNUG
RNAcentral lists this ribosomal RNA (578 nucleotides) under Acetobacteraceae bacterium AP39. Its description in RNAcentral is "bacterial SSU rRNA". It matches the Rfam family "Bacterial small subunit ribosomal RNA", at positions 339 to 934 of the family's 1533-position model. The record is from RNAcentral. Lineage: Bacteria; Pseudomonadati; Pseudomonadota; Alphaproteobacteria; Acetobacterales; Acetobacteraceae.